Molecule: small RNA, 590 nt
Filed under: Pan troglodytes (chimpanzee)
Lineage: Eukaryota; Metazoa; Chordata; Mammalia; Primates; Hominidae
Description: processed transcript
Source: RNAcentral
GGUGCAGCAUGAUGCUGCCCCCUUGGACCCUCGGCCUUCUCCUGCUGGCCACAGUCAGAGGUGAGGAUGCUGUCACCAUUCCUUUAGGGAGAAAGUGACAUGCCUGGGCUGGCCUUUGGUGAGGCAGCUAGAGGAAAAGAGGUCUGCUACGGACAACUUGGCUGCUUUUCUGAUGAAAAACCAUGGGCAGGAACCCUUCAGCGACCUGUAAAAUUACUUCCCUGGUCCCCCGAGGACAUUGACACCCGCUUUCUUCUGUACACAAAUGAAAAUCCAAACAACUUCCAAGUAAGAGCGGGCACCUAAUCACUGGCACUGAACCAGACACCAUUGAGGCUUCAAACUUCCAACUGGACCGCAAGACACGCUUCAUCAUCCAUGGCUUCUUAGACAAGGCGGAGGACAGCUGGCCAUCGGACAUGUGCAAGAAAAUGUUUGAAGUGGAGAAGGUGAACUGCAUCUGUGUGGACUGGAGCCACGGGUCCCGGGCAAUGUACACCCAAGCCGUGCAAAACAUUCGGGUUGUUGGGGCGGAGACAGCUUUCUUAAUACAAGCACUGUCGACGCAGCUGGGGUACAGCCUUGAGGAC